UGGGGAAUAUUGCGCAAUGGGGGGAACCCUGACGCAGCGACGCCGCGUGAAGGAUGAAGGUUUUCGGAUCGUAAACUUCUUUGAUUGGUGAAGAAAGAAAUGACGGUAGCCAAAGAACAAGCCACGGCUAACUACGUGCCAGCAGCCGCGGUAACACGUAGGUGGCAAGCGUUGUCCGGAAUUACUGGGUGUAAAGGGCGUGUAGGCGGGAUAGCAAGUCAGAUGUGAAAGCCCAUGGCUCAACUGUGGGACUGCAACUGAAACUGUUAUUCUUGAGUACUGGAGAGGAAAGCGGAAUUCCACGUGUAGCGGUGAAAUGCGUAGAGAUGUGGAGGAACACCAGUGGCGAAGGCGGCUUUCUGGACAGUAACUGACGCUGAGGCGCGAAAGCGUGGGGAGCGAACAGGAUUAGAUACCCCCGUAGUCC
RNAcentral lists this ribosomal RNA (427 nucleotides) under uncultured prokaryote. RNAcentral's name for it is "bacterial SSU rRNA". It matches the Rfam family "Bacterial small subunit ribosomal RNA", at positions 355 to 796 of the family's 1533-position model. The record is from RNAcentral.